GUGAGAACAGCAGCAAAGGGUC
This 22-nucleotide unclassified non-coding RNA is filed under the name Mus musculus (house mouse). Its description in RNAcentral is "oocyte_clustered_small_RNA10223". The record is from RNAcentral. Lineage: Eukaryota; Metazoa; Chordata; Mammalia; Rodentia; Muridae.